Molecule: long non-coding RNA, 420 nt
Filed under: Ornithorhynchus anatinus (platypus)
Lineage: Eukaryota; Metazoa; Chordata; Mammalia; Monotremata; Ornithorhynchidae
Description: lncRNA (ENSOANG00000040517.1)
Source: RNAcentral
GCACCUGUCUUUAUUAGAAGAUAAGAAUAAAUUUAUUGGGUUCAUUGGCAACUUUUCCCCACCAGAACAAACCAAUCUACAGAAGAAACCCCAGAGACGAGGAGGAAGUCACAAGGGGAGCUAUUGAGUGGUACAGUGUCUACAGCUGCAGGGGUUCUGCCAGGAAAGCAGAGGCCGGCUUCACCCCCAGCACUGUCCUGGGGUCUUCCGCCCCCUCCCACAAAUGAAAAGAACAGCGCAACGCCUGUAGGAGUUGACCCCGAAGACAGCAGCGGGAAAAUCACAGAUGUCCCCAGCCAGGUAUUUAUACCAGGAAAUAGCCAUGCCAAAUUUUAGUGUUCCUCUUUCUUUUCCUUGUGCCUGGUUCAGUGGUCUCCUCCCAUGCCUUUUCCUAAUAGAAGCAGCACGGUCCAAUGGACA